RNAcentral lists this RNase P RNA (326 nucleotides) under Flavobacterium cerinum. RNAcentral describes it as "RNase P RNA component class A". It matches the Rfam family "Bacterial RNase P class A". From Rfam's summary of the family: Ribonuclease P (RNase P) is a ubiquitous endoribonuclease, found in archaea, bacteria and eukarya as well as chloroplasts and mitochondria. Lineage: Bacteria; Pseudomonadati; Bacteroidota; Flavobacteriia; Flavobacteriales; Flavobacteriaceae. The record is from RNAcentral.
GCCGCAGACCGCCUUAUCGUCGUCUUGUCUUUCGGGACGAGAGGGAGGAAAGUCCGGACACCACAGAGUAGCAUAGCGGGUAACACCCGUCAGUUCCGAUUUAUCGGGAUUAGGACAAGUGCAACAGAAAGUAUGUACAGGUAAUGCUGUAGUGAAACCAGGUAAACUCUAUGCGGUGAAAUGCCAUGUAUAUCAACAUUCAAGGGCUGCUCGUUCGUUGUUGAGGGGUAGGCAGAUGGAUCCCGUCAGUAAUGUCGGGGCUAGAUAAAUGAUAAGGGUUCCGAUUUAUCGGAAUACAGAAUCCGGCUUACAGGUCUGCUUUUUUA